RNAcentral lists this non-coding RNA (26 nucleotides) under Mus musculus (house mouse). Lineage: Eukaryota; Metazoa; Chordata; Mammalia; Rodentia; Muridae. The record is from RNAcentral.
UGAUUCCCGCCGAAUAAUCUCAGGUC